Molecule: ribosomal RNA, 501 nt
Filed under: uncultured Comamonas sp.
Lineage: Bacteria; Pseudomonadati; Pseudomonadota; Betaproteobacteria; Burkholderiales; Comamonadaceae
Description: bacterial SSU rRNA
Rfam family: Bacterial small subunit ribosomal RNA
Source: RNAcentral
GAGUUUGAUCCUGGCUCAGAUUGAACGCUGGCGGCAUGCUUUACACAUGCAAGUCGAACGGUAACAGGUCUUCGGACGCUGACGAGUGGCGAACGGGUGAGUAACACAUCGGAACGUGCCUAGUAUCGGGGGAUAACUACUCGAAAGAGUAGCUAAUACCGCAUGAGAUCUAAGGAUGAAAGCAGGGGACCUUCGGGCCUUGCGCUACUAGAGCGGCUGAUGGCAGAUUAGGUAGUUGGUGGGAUAAAAGCUUACCAAGCCGACGAUCUGUAGCUGGUCUGAGAGGACGACCAGCCACACUGGGACUGAGACACGGCCCAGACUCCUACGGGAGGCAGCAGUGGGGAAUUUUGGACAAUGGGCGAAAGCCUGAUCCAGCAAUGCCGCGUGUAGGAUGAAGGCCCUCGGGUUGUAAACUACUUUUGUACGGAACGAAAAGACUUUCUCUAAUAAAGAGGGUCCAUGACGGUACCGUAAGAAUAAGCACCGGCUAACUACGUG